CGCCGAUGGCAGAUGAUCGCUGGUGAAUCGCAGGAUUCGCUGGAGGAAAGUCCGAACACCAUACGGCAGCAUGCCGCGUAAAAAACGCGGGCGCCGCAGUUGUAAAAUUGCGGUGACGGAAAGUGUCACAGAAAAGACACCGCCGGUUCUUUGAAAGAAGUGCAGGCAAGGGUGAAAAGGCGAGGUAAGAGCUCACCGCUCGUGGAGUAAUUCGCGAGGCAGGAAAAACCCCAUGCGGUGCAAGACAAAACAGAGGGAGGACAGCCGGUCCGUUGAUCCUCGGGUUCGUCGCAUCACGAAAACUGUAGCGGCGGUCUAUGACCGCCGAUCGCGGUUCUCGGGCGUCCCGCGCAAGCGGGAUUGAGAUAAAUGAUCAUCGCCCAGCUUCUUUGCUCGCAAAGAGCUGUGGGACAGAAUUCGGCUUACCGCCAUCUACAUAUG
Molecule: RNase P RNA, 441 nt
Filed under: Verrucomicrobiota bacterium
Lineage: Bacteria; Pseudomonadati; Verrucomicrobiota
Description: Verrucomicrobia bacterium RNase P RNA component class A
Rfam family: Bacterial RNase P class A
About the family: Ribonuclease P (RNase P) is a ubiquitous endoribonuclease, found in archaea, bacteria and eukarya as well as chloroplasts and mitochondria. Its best characterised activity is the generation of mature 5'-ends of tRNAs by cleaving the 5'-leader elements of precursor-tRNAs. Cellular RNase Ps are ribonucleoproteins.
Source: RNAcentral